RNAcentral lists this transfer RNA (70 nucleotides) under Dipodomys ordii (Ord's kangaroo rat). It matches the Rfam family "tRNA". From Rfam's summary of the family: Transfer RNA (tRNA) molecules are approximately 80 nucleotides in length. Lineage: Eukaryota; Metazoa; Chordata; Mammalia; Rodentia; Heteromyidae. The record is from Rfam by way of RNAcentral.
GGGAAUGUAGCUUAGUGGUAGAGUGCUUGCCUUGCAUGCAUGAGGCCCUAGGUUCAAUUCCUCAGCACCA